CCUACGGGCGGCAGCAGUGAGGAAUAUUGGUCAAUGGUCGGAAGACUGAACCAGCCAUGCCGCGUGCAGGAAGAAUGCCUUAUGGGUUGUAAACUGCUUUUAUAUAGGGAGAAUAAGGAGUACGUGUACUCUGAUGACGGUACUAUAUGAAUAAGCAUCGGCUAACUCCGUGCCAGCAGCCGCGGUAAUACGGAGGAUGCGAGCGUUAUUCGGAAUCAUUGGGUUUAAAGGGUCUGUAGGCGGGCUAUUAAGUCAGGGGUGAAAUCUUACAGCUUAACUGUGAAAUUGCCUUUGAUACUGGUAGUCUUGAAUAUUUGUGAAGUUUUUGGAAUGUGUAGUGUAGCGGUGAAAUGCUUAGAUAUUACACAGAACACCGAUUGCGAAGGCAGGAGACUAACAAAUGAUUGACGCUGAGAGACGAGAGCGUGGGGAGCGAACAGGAUUAGAUACCCGUGUAGUC
This 460-nucleotide ribosomal RNA is filed under the name uncultured Capnocytophaga sp. RNAcentral describes it as "bacterial SSU rRNA". It matches the Rfam family "Bacterial small subunit ribosomal RNA", at positions 338 to 795 of the family's 1533-position model. The record is from RNAcentral. Lineage: Bacteria; Pseudomonadati; Bacteroidota; Flavobacteriia; Flavobacteriales; Flavobacteriaceae.